RNAcentral lists this unclassified non-coding RNA (782 nucleotides) under Dimorphilus gyrociliatus. RNAcentral's name for it is "dgyrCDS14298". The record is from RNAcentral. Lineage: Eukaryota; Metazoa; Annelida; Polychaeta; Dinophilidae.
UUGCUAAUUGAUUACUUUAUUCAGUUAAAAUGCUCAGUUCGGCCUUGCUCUAAAAGUUCGUCCAUAUUACUUCUAUAUAAACACUGAUAAUUAGCUGAUAAGCCGGGAUUCUGCUCUAUUAUUUUACACAGGAAAUUAAAAACGAAGGAUAGAGAAAAGAGGGAAGACUAAGAAAAGAGCGUAUUGAAUGAACAAAUUCUAGAAAUACUCUUGGUUAUAAAUAGUUGGAAUAAAGAAAACCGGAAAUAUUCUUAUAGGAGAAUGAGGAGGCCCACGCGAGCUCAAAUGGAAGAUAGGCGAAGAAAGUCUAAGCCAUCUCAGCAGACUGUUUCAUCUAAUAACAACGGUGAUUUUAAAAGAUUUUCCGAAAAGAAGGUUCAAACUAUUAUCGAAGAUGUUAUGACUGAUCUCAUAUCGAAUAACGAUUAUCAAGCCGAUAAAGCCGCUAGUCUAGCAACUGAAAUUAGCUUAAGUAUCAAAUCUAAGGUCAAGGAUAUAGUUUCUGAGAGAUACAAGUUAAUUGUCCAUACAACAAUCGGUGAAAAGAGAAAUCAAGGACAAAUGGCUUCCAGAUGUUUAUGGGGACCGUCAAACGAUUCGUACGUAAGCCACAAAUACGAAAAUAAAACAAUUGUUGCUGUAUCAAUCGUUUUUGCUUGUUAUUACGAUUGAAAUAGCUGUAAAAAACAAACCAACAAACAAACAAACAAAAAUUUCUAUCUUUAAUACAAGAGAGUGAUGUCUUUUUUUUUUUAAAUAAAAGGAAAAUAAAUAGAUGAAAA